RNAcentral lists this ribosomal RNA (232 nucleotides) under uncultured bacterium. RNAcentral describes it as "partial 16S ribosomal RNA". It matches the Rfam family "Bacterial small subunit ribosomal RNA", at positions 15 to 224 of the family's 1533-position model. The record is from RNAcentral.
GAUCAUGGCUCAGGACGAACGCUGGCGGCGUGCUUAACACAUGCAAGUCGAACGAAGAGCGAUGGAAGCUUGCUUCUAUCAAUCUUAGUGGCGAACGGGUGAGCAACGCGUAAUCAACCUGCCCUUCAGAGGGGGACAACAGUUGGAAACGACUGCUAAUACCGCAUACGAUCCAAUCUCGGCAUCGAGGAUGGAUGAAAGGUGGCCUCUAUUUAUAAGCUAUCACUGAAGG